AGCAGCAGCCACGGUAAUACGAAGGGUGCAAGCGUUAAUCGGAGUUACUGGGCGUAAAGCGUGCGUAAGCGGUUUGUUAAGUCUGUUGUGAAAUCCCCGGGCUCAACCUGGGAAUGGCAAUGGAUACUGGCAAGCUAGAGUGUGUCAGAGGAUGGUGGAAUUCCCGGUGUAGCGGUGAAAUGCGUAGAGAUCGGGAGGAACAUCAGUGGCGAAGGCGGCCAUCUGGGACAACACUGACGCUGAGGCACGAAAGCGUGGGGAGCAAACAGGAUUAGAUACCCCUGUAGUCCCUGUCUCUUAUAC
This 303-nucleotide ribosomal RNA is filed under the name uncultured bacterium. RNAcentral describes it as "partial 16S ribosomal RNA". It matches the Rfam family "Bacterial small subunit ribosomal RNA", at positions 507 to 807 of the family's 1533-position model. The record is from RNAcentral.